RNAcentral lists this transfer RNA (76 nucleotides) under Actinidia chinensis (golden kiwifruit). Its description in RNAcentral is "tRNA-Ile". It matches the Rfam family "tRNA". From Rfam's summary of the family: Transfer RNA (tRNA) molecules are approximately 80 nucleotides in length. Their secondary structure includes four short double-helical elements and three loops (D, anti-codon, and T loops). Further hydrogen bonds mediate the characteristic L-shaped molecular structure. tRNAs have two regions of fundamental functional importance: the anti-codon, which is responsible for specific mRNA codon recognition, and the 3' end, to which the tRNAs corresponding amino acid is attached (by aminoacyl-tRNA synthetases). tRNAs cope with the degeneracy of the genetic code in two manners: having more than one tRNA (with a specific anti-codon) for a particular amino acid; and 'wobble' base-pairing, i.e. permitting non-standard base-pairing at the 3rd anti-codon position. The record is from RNAcentral. RNAcentral also lists the same sequence under 4 other names. Lineage: Eukaryota; Viridiplantae; Streptophyta; Magnoliopsida; Ericales; Actinidiaceae.
GCAUCCAUGACUGAAUGGUUAAAGCGCCCAACCUAUACAAGAGGCAAAUUCGUAGGUUCGAUUCCUGCUGGAUGCA